Mandrillus leucophaeus (drill) is the source of this 1070-nucleotide RNA transcript. It is a transcript of the gene named lipocalin 8, with no coding region annotated. Lineage: Eukaryota; Metazoa; Chordata; Mammalia; Primates; Cercopithecidae. The record is from RefSeq and is a predicted model, not a curated record. The transcript is spliced from 7 exons.
CCCGUUCCCUGCCGUUUCUCACUCUCCGCCGCACCCUGCAGGCUUUCUGUUCCAGGCCCCUGCUCCUGGGUCCUGCCCCCGAGGUCAGGCAGGGCCUGUGGUUCCUCCCCAAAUGCCCCGGAAGCCCCAGGGCCUGUUCAGCAGCUCUAGAUGGCCCGGUGGGGAGGAGCCGCCCUCUCGGUGUUGCUGUCUGAUGGCUUGAAGGGACCCCUUGGAAGGACACACACCUGGGGACACUGGGCUCACAGAUGUCCUGCUGCUUUACCGUCGAGCCUCACGGCCAUCUGCUGACCUGUCAGAGCCCAGCAGGCCCCUGCCCGGGGGUUGGUGGAAUGCCCCUGGGGGUCUCAGACCCACUGCCCAGCUCAUGGCCGGGCUCCGCAUCUCUCUAGAUUGGAGGAUUCUGGCGGGAAGUCGGUGUGGCCUCCUAUCAAAGUCUGGUGCUGAUGGCCCCAAAGCGGGUGGAGGGCUUGUUCCUCACUUUGAACGGGAGUAACCUGACCGUGAAGGUUGCAUAUAACAGCUCAGGAAGCUGUGAAAUAGAGAAGAUUGUGGGCUCAGAAAUAGACACUACGGGAAAAUUUGCUUUUCCUGCUUCUGUAGUGUCCCCAACCACUCAAGUGCUGGGACUGGGUGGGGGCAGGAUGGAGUUAGACCCUGCAGACCCUGGCCUUCGAGGUCCAUCCCCCUCAGAGGUCUCCCCCAACGCCAUGGCCGGCUCCUGAAGGCCACAGAGAGAUCCACGUGCUGGACACCGACUACGAGGGCUAUGCCAUCCUGCGGGUGUCCCUGAUGUGGCGGGGCAGGAACUUUCACGUCCUCAAGUACUUCACUCGGAGCUUGGAGGAUGAGGACCGGCUGGGGUUCUGGAGGUUUCGGGAGCUGACGGCAGACACUGGUCUCUACCUGGCGGCCCGGCCUGGGCGGUGUGCCGAGCUUCUGAAGGAGGAGCUGAUUUAAUGGAGUUUCUGCCUCAGACCACGAGGCUCAGAGCCCCCGCCCAUCCCGGCCCCUCCUGGGCACCCUGCCCACCGGGUCACCUGCACCUGCUCUGAAUAAACUGUGAUGUC